ACACCUAUUUUGAUUUUCUAUAAGCAGUUUCUUCCCUUUCUUCCACCUUUUUUCUCUACAUCUUUCCUUUGUAUUUUCUUAAAUACCUAAUGGUUAUUUUUAGUUGGUACCUCCUACUCUUCUGUGGGUUUUCAAGUGCCUGUAUGCCUAACCCAUGUUCCUAUCAAAAGCUCGAUGUUAAGACAUGAUCAACAAUUCAUUAAACCAGGAUUUUGUUUAUAUUUGUCAGAUCCCACAUAAGAUUUUCUCUUCACGAUUAAACAAAAAUAAAAAUUUACAGCUUUCACAAUUAAAAAGAAUUUGUCAAUAGGUCAUAGGAAGCUUAAGAGAUGCAAUGAGGGAAAAAGUGCUACCUCACAGAAGUCAAAAUCCCAACAGGUUGAGGAGAACUAGUUUUGCACUGGAAACUCUCCCAUCAUUAGAUUCACCCUUAGAAUUUGGACAAUCUUCAAAGUCACUUAGUACUGUAAAUUUCAGUGUUUUUAAAGCAGUGAAACCCAUUUUUUGGGCACGGAAUUAUGAUAAGUGACAAACUGGAGCUGCUUGGGUUGACUGAGGGUGUGGGAUUUCUAACCUGCCCGUUUUCCUUCCUCUUCCCCUCCCAUCCCCUCAGUGAAGUUCAGGGCCCAUUUUGAAAGCCACUGACCUAAUUUUAAUCAUUGCUGUAGGUGAACAUCACUUUUGGUAACCUUUUUGACAUCCUCACGUGUGCUUCCCUGAUGCCUAAAACUCAGUAAGUAACAUUCUUAUUGCCAUCCUUCAACCUCUUCCCCAAAAUCUCAGCUCAUUAGUUUCAGUUUAGGCUAGUUGGAAGAGUAUCACCGUGCCUUCUGUAACUUCUCAUUUUCCUCUAAGGAAAGCUGAGCUUCUAGUUUUUUGCAGAAAGAGUAUUCUGUUGAAUCCCUUCAAGCCCUGUCUCUCUCUCCACAGAUUAACUCUGCUCUUUUGCUAUCUUUAGCUGCAUUCUGCCUUGGUAGAGAACCGCGACCCUUAAAAGUCUAAGCAAUUUUCAAUUUUGUUGAAAAAAAUUAGCCUGUAUUUGAGCUUCCCCUCAGUACGGAAGCAGUUUCAUCUUGUUCUGCCACCCUCAGCAAGCCAAAGGGCUAAAACCCAAAACUUUUUAGUAAAAAGAAAGUUUCCAAGAAAGAAGAAGAAACUUCACCCCCACCCUGUAAGAGCCGCAGCCUGGGAAGAGGCGGCAUUUAUAGGAUGCAGAGUAAAUCAGCUGGGCGGUCUGAGGGGUGCGGAGAGUGGGGGCGUGGAAAAAAGUGAUUGGGAAAAGGUGCUAGAAUCAUUGUUCUGCGCAGGCGUAACUUGACCACAGGUUUCUGCCUGCGCAACAGGAGAUGCUCAGCACCACCAGAGGGUAGAGUAUUCAGCCUUCUGACGUCAAAAAGUCGCCCAGCUGACACUGAUGCAUGCUCAGUUGGAGUCAGUGGGCCUAUUUGGGCCUAGCUGGCUCAGCUAGGUCUAGACACAGGUGACUCGAGGAUCCUGAAAAACAACUCAGGCUCCCAGGAGACUGGAAGAAGGCCUCCUUCCCAGGAAUGUGGCCAUUCGAAGCUGGGCAGCAAGACACAACGGCUCACGGGAAACAACUGCCUGCAAAGAUUAAGCACCUGUAAAGAUUAACUGCCCCCUGGAUGCCACUUGCUGUUGUUGCACUUCUCUGGUUGUGAGACUCGGACUCCAGCCAUCUUAUUGUUCUGAUUUUUCCCUUCCCCUAUAAUCUUCCCUGCCACAAUCACUAGAUCAUGGGACUCAACCCCACGCCCCUUCCCAAAUUGCAUAACCUUCCUUUCAUUGUCCUUGCCAUGAGUUCCCACCAUAGACCCACGCCAUGGAGUCCCACCAUGAUCCUUUAUAAGACAAAAUUCUCCUCACAGUCAGGGCUGACCCUAUCUUGAGCUCAGCCCAUCUGUUUCUGAUGCCUCAAUAAAUCUCUCUUGCUUUA
This is a non-coding RNA of Sus scrofa (pig), 1954 nucleotides long. Lineage: Eukaryota; Metazoa; Chordata; Mammalia; Artiodactyla; Suidae. The record is from RefSeq and is a predicted model, not a curated record.